This 145-nucleotide small nuclear RNA is filed under the name Neogale vison (American mink). RNAcentral's name for it is "Neovison vison (American mink) U4 spliceosomal RNA (ENSNVIG00000002708.1)". The stretch from base 1 to 128 matches the Rfam family "U4 spliceosomal RNA". From Rfam's summary of the family: U4 small nuclear RNA (U4 snRNA) is a component of the major U2-dependent spliceosome. The structure of U4 snRNA from yeast and human has been reported. U4 snRNA presents a k-turn RNA motif in the 5p-SL related to recognition of Snu13 protein. Lineage: Eukaryota; Metazoa; Chordata; Mammalia; Carnivora; Mustelidae. The record is from RNAcentral.
AGCUUUGCGCAGUGGCAGUAUCGUAGCCAAUGAGGUUUAUCCGAGGCGCGAUUAUUGCUAAUUAAAGCACAUGGCAAAUCUGAAGAUGAGAUACACCAUCUUUUACUAUUCAAUCAAAAGAAAGCUUUGUUAAUUCUGUUUCAAA